GGGGCCGUAGCUCAGUUGGGAGAGCGCAGCAAUCGCACUGCUGAGGUCAGGGGUUCGAUUCCCCUCGGCUCCACCA
RNAcentral lists this transfer RNA (76 nucleotides) under Rhodospirillum rubrum. RNAcentral describes it as "tRNA-Ala". It matches the Rfam family "tRNA". From Rfam's summary of the family: Transfer RNA (tRNA) molecules are approximately 80 nucleotides in length. Their secondary structure includes four short double-helical elements and three loops (D, anti-codon, and T loops). RNAcentral also lists the same sequence under 24 other names. Lineage: Bacteria; Pseudomonadati; Pseudomonadota; Alphaproteobacteria; Rhodospirillales; Rhodospirillaceae. The record is from RNAcentral.